ACAACUUAUGCUAAUGGCCUA
This 21-nucleotide non-coding RNA is filed under the name Arabidopsis thaliana (thale cress). Lineage: Eukaryota; Viridiplantae; Streptophyta; Magnoliopsida; Brassicales; Brassicaceae. The record is from RNAcentral.